This 344-nucleotide unclassified non-coding RNA is filed under the name Hevea brasiliensis (rubber tree). The record is from RNAcentral. Lineage: Eukaryota; Viridiplantae; Streptophyta; Magnoliopsida; Malpighiales; Euphorbiaceae.
UCUUCAGCACAAAUAAGGUUCAACCACAAUUCUAGAAAUUCAAAAAGAGGGUCACAGGAUCUUUUGGGCGGCAAGGAUUUUGAACUUCAUGAGUGUGAGAAAGAUAAUUCACAUGAACCUUUAAGUAUGUUAGAGUCAGAGCUCAAAGUUUUGAGCGCAGAGAGUGUUCAUGUUCUGAAAUUAUGCGGAGGAAACCAAUUAAUUGAGGAGUUCUAUUCUCAAACAUAUUGUGAUGAUGUUGAAAAGCUAGACCACCACCUCAAAGGCUACAAUCCCUCUGCAUAUAGUUACAAAGAUAGCCAAUUGCACAUGCUCCAAAAUGUUGUAGGCGAUGGCUCCCAGAG